Molecule: ribosomal RNA, 502 nt
Filed under: uncultured bacterium
Lineage: Bacteria
Description: partial 16S ribosomal RNA
Rfam family: Bacterial small subunit ribosomal RNA
Source: RNAcentral
GACGAACGCUGGCGGCGUGCCUAAUACAUGCAAGUCGAACGAACCGCGACUAGGUGCUUGCACUUGGUCAAGGUGAGUGGCGAACGGGUGAGUAACACGUGGGUAACCUACCUCAUAGUGGGGGAUAACAGUCGGAAACGACUGCUAAUACCGCAUAGGACAUAAGAUCACAUGAUCCAGUGAGGAAAGGUGGCGCAAGCUAUCGCUAAGAGAUGGACCCGCGGUGCAUUAGAUAGUUGGUAGGGUAAAGGCCUACCAAGGCGAUGAUGCAUAGCCGACCUGAGAGGGUGAAUGGCCACAUUGGGACUGAGAAACGGCCCAAACUCCUACGGGAGGCAGCAGUAGGGAAUCUUCCGCAAUGGACGCAAGUCUGACGGAGCAACGCCGCGUGAGUGCAGAAGGUCUUCGGAUCGUAAAGCGCUGUUGUUAGAGAAGAACAGCGCAUAGAGUAACUGUUAUGCGUGUGACGGUAUCUAACCAGAAAGCCACGGCUAACUACGUG